CGUAGGGGGCAAGCGUUGUCCGGAUUUAUUGGGCGUAAAGCGCUCGCAGGUGGUCCGUUGCGUCGUGCGUGAAAGACCCCGGCUCAACUGGGGGGUGUCGUGCGAUACGGGCGGACUGGAGGCCAGUAGGGGGAUGCGGAAUUCCGGGUGUAGUGGUGGAAUGCGUAGAGAUCCGGAGGAACACCAGCGGCGAAGGCGGCAUCCUGGACUGGUCCUGACACUCAGGAGCGAAAGCGUGGGGAGCGAUCCGGAUUAGAUACCCGGGUAGUCCACGCUGUAAACGAUGAGCACUAGGUGUCGGGGGUAUCGACCCCCUCGGUGCCGCAGCUAACGCGAUAAGUGCUCCGCCUGGGGACUACGGCCGCAAGGCUA
RNAcentral lists this ribosomal RNA (372 nucleotides) under uncultured organism. Its description in RNAcentral is "bacterial SSU rRNA". It matches the Rfam family "Bacterial small subunit ribosomal RNA", at positions 526 to 896 of the family's 1533-position model. The record is from RNAcentral.